Molecule: ribosomal RNA, 1343 nt
Filed under: uncultured bacterium
Lineage: Bacteria
Description: 16S ribosomal RNA
Rfam family: Bacterial small subunit ribosomal RNA
Source: RNAcentral
GACGAACGCUGGCGGCGUGCUUAACACAUGCAAGUCGAACGGAAAGGCCCUGCUUUUGUGGGGUGCUCGAGUGGCGAACGGGUGAGUAACACGUGAGUAACCUGCCCUUGACUUUGGGAUAACUUCAGGAAACUGGGGCUAAUACCGGAUAGGAGCUCCUGCUGCAUGGUGGGGGUUGGAAAGUUUCGGCGGUUGGGGAUGGACUCGCGGCUUAUCAGCUUGUUGGUGGGGUAGUGGCUUACCAAGGCUUUGACGGGUAGCCGGCCUGAGAGGGUGACCGGCCACAUUGGGACUGAGAUACGGCCCAGACUCCUACGGGAGGCAGCAGUGGGGAAUAUUGCACAAUGGGCGGAAGCCUGAUGCAGCAACGCCGCGUGCGGGAUGACGGCCUUCGGGUUGUAAACCGCUUUCGCCUGUGACGAAGCGUGAGUGACGGUAAUGGGUAAAGAAGCACCGGCUAACUACGUGCCAGCAGCCGCGGUGAUACGUAGGGUGCGAGCGUUGUCCGGAUUUAUUGGGCGUAAAGGGCUCGUAGGUGGUUGAUCGCGUCGGAAGUGUAAUCUUGGGGCUUAACCCUGAGCGUGCUUUCGAUACGGGUUGACUUGAGGAAGGUAGGGGAGAAUGGAAUUCCUGGUGGAGCGGUGGAAUGCGCAGAUAUCAGGGGGAACACCAGUGGCGAAGGCGGUUCUCUGGGCCUUUCCUGACGCUGAGGAGCGAAAGCGUGGGGAGCGAACAGGCUUAGAUACCCUGGUAGUCCACGCUGUAAACGGUGGGUACUAGGUGUGGGGUCCAUUCCACGGGUUCCGUGCCGUAGCUAACGCUUUAAGUACCCCGCCUGGGGAGUACGGCCGCAAGGCUAAAACUCAAAGGAAUUGACGGGGCCCCGCACAAGCGGCGGAGCAUGCGGAUUAAUUCGAUGCAACGCGUAGAACCUUACCUGGGUUUGACAUGGAUCGGGAGUGCUCAGAGAUGGGUGUGCCUCUUUUGGGGUCGGUUCACAGGUGGUGCAUGGCUGUCGUCAGCUCGUGUCGUGAGAUGUUGGGUUAAGUCCCGCAACGAGCGCAACCCUUGUUCACUGUUGCCAGCACGUUAUGGUGGGGACUCAGUGGAGACCGCCGGGGUCAACUCGGAGGAAGGUGGGGAUGACGUCAAGUCAUCAUGCCCCUUAUGUCCAGGGCUUCACGCAUGCUACAAUGGCUGGUACAGAGAGUGGCGAGCCUGUGAGGGUGAGCGAAUCUCGGAAAGCCGGUCUCAGUUCGGAUUGGGGUCUGCAACUCGACCUCAUGAAGUCGUAGUCGCUAGUAAUCGCAGAUCAGCAACGCUGCGGUGAAUACGUUCCCGGG